Molecule: long non-coding RNA, 421 nt
Organism: Athalia rosae (coleseed sawfly)
Lineage: Eukaryota; Metazoa; Arthropoda; Insecta; Hymenoptera; Athaliidae
Exons: 2
Source: RefSeq, a predicted model, not a curated record
GCUAACUAAAUAAUUUAUGUCUGUCGAUUUGUUCACGUUUUUUCUUGGUUUUGUUUGAUGCAAGCGGUGUCAUGCUAAAUGCUGGUUUUCUUUUCCGCGACUGAAACAUAAAAAAUGACGGUAUGGAUAAAAAACGAAAAAAUAAUAUCCUUUUCCUGGCUACUGACUGGUUCAUCUUCGACGGGGAGAUCGAUAGCGGGACUGAGAUGGGCAAAUACAAAAUUCCUCGAAUUUUUAGGCUUCGUGAUAGCUUGAUUACUACUAUUUUGCUUCGUAAUCCGAGAGAGUCUUGCUAAUGAUUCUUCUCCCCUAGCCAAGAAUGAACCUCGAUGGAUCGCGCUCUGUGUUAGAUGUGAUAAUAAAAUACUAAAGAUAUUGUCUAUUUCUCGAUGUCAAUAAAUACUGUUAGUCUGAAUCAAAA